GAUGAACGCUGGCGGCGUGCCUAAUACAUGCAAGUCGAACGAAACUUCUUUAUCACCGAGUGCUUGCACUCACCGAUAAAGAGUUGAGUGGCAAACGGGUGAGUAACACGUGGGCAGCCUGCCCAAAAGAGGGGGAUAACACUUGGAAACAGGUGCUAAUACCGCAUAACCAUAGUUACCGCAUGGUAACUAUGUAAAAGGUGGCUAUACUACCGCUUUUGGAUGGGCCCGCGGCGCAUUAGCUAGUUGGUAGGGUAAAGGCUUACCAAGGCAAUGAUGCGUAGCCGAAUUGAGAGGUUGAUCGGCCACAUUGGGACUGAGACACGGCCCAAACUCCUACGGGAGGCAGCAGUAGGGAAUCUUCCACAAUGGGCGAAAGCCUGAUGGAGCAACGCCGCGUGGGUGAAGAAGGUCUUCGGAUCGUAAAACCCUGUUGUUAGAGAAGAAAGUGCGUGAGAGUAACUGUUCACGUUUCGACGGUAUCUAACCAGAAAGCCACGGCUAACUACGUG
Molecule: ribosomal RNA, 512 nt
Filed under: uncultured bacterium
Lineage: Bacteria
Description: partial 16S ribosomal RNA
Rfam family: Bacterial small subunit ribosomal RNA
Source: RNAcentral